This 21-nucleotide microRNA is filed under the name Monodelphis domestica (gray short-tailed opossum). RNAcentral's name for it is "mdo-miR-7385g-3p". Lineage: Eukaryota; Metazoa; Chordata; Mammalia; Didelphimorphia; Didelphidae. The record is from miRBase by way of RNAcentral.
AGCAUAGAAUGUCAGAUCUAG